UACGUAGGGUGCAAGCGUUAAUCGGAAUUACUGGGCGUAAAGCGUGCGUAGACGGUUAUGUAAGUCAGGUGUGAAAGCCCCGGGCUCAACCUGGGAAUUGCAUUUGAGACUGCAUAGCUAGGGUGCGGAAGAGGGAAGCGGAAUUUCCGGUGUAGCGGUGAAAUGCGUAGAUAUGCGGAGGAACACCGAUGGCGAAGGCAAUCCCCUGGACCUGUACUGACGCUCAUGCACGAAAGCGUGGGGAGCAAACAGG
This 253-nucleotide ribosomal RNA is filed under the name uncultured bacterium. RNAcentral's name for it is "partial 16S ribosomal RNA". It matches the Rfam family "Bacterial small subunit ribosomal RNA", at positions 524 to 776 of the family's 1533-position model. The record is from RNAcentral.